UACGUAGGGGGGCUAGCGUUGUCCGGAAUCAUUGGGCGUAAAGAGCGUGUAGGCGGUCCGGUAAGUCCGCUGUGAAAGUCGGGGGCUCAACCCUCGAAUGCCGGUGGAUACUGUCGGGCUAGAGUACGGAAGAGGCGAGUGGAAUUCCUGGUGUAGCGGUGAAAUGCGCAGAUAUCAGGAGGAACACCUAUUGCGAAGGCAGCUCGCUGGGACGUAACUGACGCUGAGACGCGAAAGCGUGGGGAGCAAACAGG
Molecule: ribosomal RNA, 254 nt
Filed under: uncultured bacterium
Lineage: Bacteria
Description: partial 16S ribosomal RNA
Rfam family: Bacterial small subunit ribosomal RNA
Source: RNAcentral